UGGAGACACUGAUGCAGUGGUUCCUGUGACUGCAACUCGAUACUCCAUUGAUGCCUUGAAGCUUCCAACUAUUACCAACUAUUACAAAGUUAGACAAAGUUUUAUUGGGAAUUCUAUUGGUUGGGGAAGUGUGCUUCUCCUUCUUACCAACUGAAGCAAGAAUAGCAAGAUCAUGAGACGAAGUACAUAAUGGUCCUAUAUGUGUAUUGCCUUUCUGUGUCUCCCAGUACAUAUCAUUCUUCCUAUGUUAGUACAAAGAGCCAAAAAGGCCAUCCAUGGAUCUUGCUCUACACUGACCGCACAUUAAGGACGCUAUCUAUAAAGUCGAAAUGAAAGAGCCGGUCACCACCACCACCACCUUCCCAGCUACCAGCCACAACUAGACUGGAGGAGCAGAAUGACCGUAGGACAGCCUAUGAUUCUUUUGGUGAGACUACCGAUCCAACAUCGUUGCCUGGAAGUUUGAGUCGCAAGACUAAAGAGCAAGACGACUCUGGUGCCAGGACGACAUCUUGUACUUAUGGAAGGACUGAAGAGCAACCUUCCCUCCAUAUUGUCCUCAAUAAAAGUAAGAGAACAAUAUUGAAGGGUUUUAUGGAAGGACUCGAACAAUGGGAGCUUAUAGUGAUGCCAAGACGACAUCUUGUACUUAUUAGAACUUAUUUUUGGAUGGUUGGAACUAAAAUGUGUAAUGGGAGUAAUUGGUUUUUCCUGUAUUAUGUAUGAAAUUAAAUUAUUGACGUUGGAUUACACUUGGUUCUUAUGGAA
Non-coding RNA from Camellia sinensis, 768 nucleotides. NCBI's taxonomy places the organism in Eukaryota, Viridiplantae, Streptophyta, Magnoliopsida, Ericales, Theaceae. The record is from RefSeq and is a predicted model, not a curated record.